This is a non-coding RNA of Paramuricea clavata, 242 nucleotides long. NCBI's taxonomy places the organism in Eukaryota, Metazoa, Cnidaria, Anthozoa, Malacalcyonacea, Plexauridae. The record is from the annotation of a GenBank genome assembly.
CUCCUUCUAAAGUGCAGGAAAUGGCAUUUCAGGGACUCGAGUUUAAAAUUUUCCCAGGGGGAAUGCCCCCGGACCCCCAGAAUGUCACCUGUCAUCACCCCCCUUCAGCGAGCACUAAGUGUGCCCCUUCCCCUCUUUUACAGCCGACGCCUGUGGUUAUCUAACUUAUCUCACUUAUCUGUACGGAAAUAAAGUCAUAUAAUUGUGUUUAGACUUUAAGGCAACAUCCAGAUGAUUGUUAC